Long non-coding RNA from Oncorhynchus gorbuscha (pink salmon), 1174 nucleotides. RefSeq lists it as uncharacterized. The transcript has 2 exons. The record is from RefSeq and is a predicted model, not a curated record. Lineage: Eukaryota; Metazoa; Chordata; Actinopteri; Salmoniformes; Salmonidae.
AGUUUGAAAUCGUGGCGCUUGGUGUAAAAUCCAGAGAAAAAAUAUAUGAAAAACUCGAUUCUCUGGGAGAGGGUUAGGUUUUUGUGUAGGCCUAACACAUGCCCAUGUGGGUAAAACCUGGGAAGUAUAACCACAGAACAUUGAGCCAGAUGUUUCACUGGAUGUUUGCACCUGAAGCAUCCGGUUGGCAUUUCCACUCACCAUGGUUAUGAGAGGAAGCCCAGUGGCGGCAGUGGGAGGAGAUGGAUUUUGGCCGACAUUUAGCAAAUUUUCUCAUUGAUGAAACAUUUGAUCACAGUACAGUUUUCUGUUCCCAAAACUAGAUUAUGUUAUGAACAUAGUGGACUAAGUUUUGUAGACUAUUCUUUGCCAAAGUCCCUGUAUUGCCAGGACUGCGUAGCCUCACAAAGUUCCAACAUCAAGUUUUCUGACGAUACGACACUAGUAGGCCUGAUUACAAACAACAACAAGAAGACCUACAGAGAGGAGGUAGGCACUCUGGCGGUGUGGUGCCAGGAAAAACCACCUUUCCCUAAACGUCAGCAAAACAAAGGAGCUGAUUUUGGACUUCAGGAGGCACCAGGCUGGGCACACCCUCAUCAACAGAGCCGCCGUAGAGACGGCAGAAUGGCCCUGCAGGCCCUCCGUGUUCUACAGGAGCACCAUCAAGAGCAUACUGUCGGGCUGCAUCACAGCCUGGUACGGCAACUCCACCACCGCUGACUGCAAGGCUCUACAGAGGGUGGCACAAUCAGCUAAACCCAUCAAUGGGUGCACACAGCCUGCCCUCUAGGACACCUACAACACCAGGUGUUGCAGUUGCAGGAAGGCCAAGAAGAUCAUCAAAGUCCUCAGCCCCCCGAGACACAGUAUGUUCUCCCCACUUCUAUCACUCAGACUCGGGUAGUAUAGGAGCAUCAUGGCAAAAACUGUGAGACUAGCUAAUAACUUCUACCCCCAGAUCAUCACACUGCUGAAUAGCCACCAUUGGGCAGCUACCUGCCCGCCCCCCCACCCCAGUUGUAAAUAUGUAUAUAUUUGUAUUAUUGUUUUAUACACUUCUCUUAUGGACCUGCACUGUUAGAGCUCAGAGUUUAAGAAUUUCACUGUACCCUGCAAUUAUAUCUGCGACCCUGUGCAUAUGACUAAUAAACAAAUCUAUCUAAAAAUGUCA